This 1449-nucleotide ribosomal RNA is filed under the name Anthracothecium prasinum. Its description in RNAcentral is "LSU rRNA". It matches the Rfam family "Eukaryotic large subunit ribosomal RNA", at positions 40 to 1444 of the family's 3401-position model. The record is from RNAcentral. Lineage: Eukaryota; Fungi; Ascomycota; Eurotiomycetes; Pyrenulales; Pyrenulaceae.
AUAUCAAUAAGCGGAGGAAAAGAAACCAACAGGGAUUGCCCCAGUAACGGCGAGUGAAGCGGCAACAGCUCAAAUUUGAAAUCUGGCCCUGUUAGGGGUCCGAGUUGUAAUUUGGAGAGGAUGCUUCGGGCGAGAGCGUGGUUUAAAUCUCUUGGAACAGGGUAUCACAGAGGGUGAGAGUCCCGUCUUUAACCGCGAGUCAAGCCCGUGUGAAGCUCCUUCGACGAGUCGGGUUGUUUGGGAAUGCAGCUCAAAAUGGGUGGUAAAUUUCAUCUAAAGCUAAAUAUUGGCCAGAGACCGAUAGCGCACAAGUAGAGUGAUCGAAAGAUGAAAAGCACUUUGAAAAGAGAGUUAAACAGCAUGUGAAAUUGUUGAAAGGGAAGCGCUUGCAACCAGACUUGUGGGCGGCAGUUCAGCCGUUAUUCUUAACGGUGCACUCUGCCGUUUCCGGGCCAGCAUCGGUUCAGGUAACCGGUUAAAGGCCUGGGGAACGUAUCUGCCUCUCGGGGCAGACUUAUAGCCCCAGGUGGCAUCCGGCUCAUCUGGACCGAGGCACGCGCUUCGGCACGGAUGCUGGCGUAAUGGUUGUAAGCGGCCCGUCUUGAAACACGGACCAAGGAGUCUAACAUCUAUGCGAGUGUUUGGGCGUUAAAACCCCAGCGCGGAAUGAAAGUGAACGGAGGUAGGAGCCCUCUGGGCGCACUAUCGACCGAUCCUGAUGUCUUCGGAUGGAUUUGAGUAAGAGCAUAGCUGUUGGGACCCGAAAGAUGGUGAACUAUGCCUGAAUAGGGUGAAGCCAGAGGAAACUCUGGUGGAGGCUCGCAGCGGUUCUGACGUGCAAAUCGAUCGUCAAAUUUAGGCAUAGGGGCGAAAGGUAAGCGUUCUUUUUAAUCUGAAAUAUAUUCUGUAGACUCUGGGCUAAUUUUUUCUCUGUAGACUAAUCGAACCAUCUGGUAGCUGGUUCCUGCCGAAGUUUCCCUCAGGAUAGCAGUAACGUCUUCAGUUUUAUGAGGUAAAGCAAUGAUUAGCGGCCUUGGGGAAGUAACUUCCUUAACCGAUUCUCAAACUUUAAAUAUGUAAGAAGUCCUUGUUACUUAAUUGAACGUGGACAUUUGAAUGUACCGUUACUAGUGGGCCAUUUUUGGUAAGCAGAACUGGCGAUGCGGGAUGAACCGAACGCGAGGUUAAGGUGCCGGAAUGCACGCUCAUCAGACCCCACAAAAGGUGUUAGUUCAUCUUGACAGCCUGACGGUGGCCAUGGAAGCCGGAAUCCGCUUAGGAGUGCGUAACAGCUCACAGGCCGAAUGAACUAGCCCUGAAAAUGGAUGGCGCUCAAGCGUGCUACCCAUACCUCGCCGUUAAAGUUUUAACGAUGCUUUAACGAGUAGGCAGGCGUGGAGGUUUGUGACGAAGCCUUGGGGGUGACCCCGGGUCGAACAACCUCUAGUG